Molecule: ribosomal RNA, 324 nt
Filed under: uncultured bacterium
Lineage: Bacteria
Description: bacterial SSU rRNA
Rfam family: Bacterial small subunit ribosomal RNA
Source: RNAcentral
GAUGAACGCUGGCGGCGUGCUUAACACAUGCAAGUCGAACGAGAACCAUCGGAUUGAGGAUUCGUCCAAGUGAAGGUGGGGAAAGUGGCGGACGGGGGAGUAACGCGUGAGCAAUCUGCCUUGGAGUGGGGAAUAACGGCUGGAAACAGCCGCUAAUACCGCAUGAAGCAGCUGGGAGGCAUCUCCCUGGCUGUCAAAGAUUUAUCGCUCUGAGAUGAGCUCGCGUCUGAUUAGCUAGUUGGCGGGGUAACGGCCCACCAAGGCGACGAUCAGUAGCCGGACUGAGAGGUUGGCCGGCCACAUUGGGACUGAGACACGGCCCAG